ACGGGUGAGUAACGCGUGGGAAUCUACCGUGCCCUGCGGAAUAGCUCCGGGAAACUGGAAUUAAUACCGCAUACGCCCUACGGGGGAAAGAUUUAUCGGGGUAUGAUGAGCCCGCGUUGGAUUAGCUAGUUGGUGGGGUAAAGGCCUACCAAGGCGACGAUCCAUAGCUGGUCUGAGAGGAUGAUCAGCCACAUUGGGACUGAGACACGGCCCAAACUCCUACGGGAGGCAGCAGUGGGGAAUAUUGGACAAUGGGCGCAAGCCUGAUCCAGCCAUGCCGCGUGGGUGAUGAAGGCCUUAGGGUUGUAAAGCUCUUUCACCGGAGAAGAUAAUGACGGUAUCCGGAGAAGAAGCCCCGGCUAACUUCGUGCCAGCAGCCGCGGUAAUACGAAGGGGGCUAGCGUUGUUCGGAAUUACUGGGCGUAAAGCGCACGUAGGCGGAUAUUUAAGUCAGGGGUGAAAUCCCAGAGCUCAACUCUGGAACUGCCUUUGAUACUGGGUAUCUUGAGUAUGGAAGAGGUAAGUGGAAUUCCGAGUGUAGAGGUGAAAUUCGUAGA
RNAcentral lists this ribosomal RNA (557 nucleotides) under uncultured bacterium. Its description in RNAcentral is "bacterial SSU rRNA". It matches the Rfam family "Bacterial small subunit ribosomal RNA", at positions 102 to 694 of the family's 1533-position model. The record is from RNAcentral.